CCUACGGGAGGCAGCAGUGGGGAAUAUUGGACAAUGGGGGAAACCCUUAUCCAGCGACGCCGCGUGAGGGAAGAAGGUUUUCGGAUUGUAAACCUCUGUCAGUGGGGACGAUAAUGACGGUACCCACGGAGGAAGCCACGGCUAACUACGUGCCAGCAGCCGCGGUAAUACGUAGGUGGCAAGCGUUGUCCGGAAUUACUGGGUUUAAAGGGUGCGUAGGCGGACAGUCAAGUCAGCGGUAAAAAUGCGGUGCUCAACGCCGUACAGCCGUUGAAACUGACAGUCUUGAGUGGGCGAGAAGUAUGCGGAAUGCGUGGUGUAGCGGUGAAAUGCAUAGAUAUCACGCAGAACUCCGAUUGCGAAGGCAGCAUACCGGCGCCCGACUGACGCUGAGGCACGAAAGCGUGGGUAUCGAACAGGAUUAGAUACCCCUGUAGUC
RNAcentral lists this ribosomal RNA (439 nucleotides) under uncultured bacterium. Its description in RNAcentral is "partial 16S ribosomal RNA". It matches the Rfam family "Bacterial small subunit ribosomal RNA", at positions 338 to 795 of the family's 1533-position model. The record is from RNAcentral.